Molecule: long non-coding RNA, 708 nt
Filed under: Parus major (Great Tit)
Lineage: Eukaryota; Metazoa; Chordata; Aves; Passeriformes; Paridae
Description: lncRNA (ENSPMJG00000011837.1)
Source: RNAcentral
CUUUUUUAAGUUUGACUCAAAACAGUUUUGCUCAUCUACAAACAUUUGCAAUCAUGCAGCCAAAAAGGACUCUCUGGUAGAGUUCGAGCAUUCAUUUUGUUUCUCUGACAACAUUUUCUUUAGGAAAAUACACAGCUGUCCUAACGAAUUUUGGGAACAGGAGAUUGUCACUGCAUUUGCAGAAAUGUACAGGAGCAGAUUGAGGCUCUUUUACCAAAGGACUAAAAUAAGGAAUUUCCAUGGUGUGAAGGAUUUCCCCGUGGGUGCAGACUGGGCAUGAAAGGUCCUCUGGAGGGGUGGAAGAAAAGACUUCCUGCUGCCUCAAGUGGAAACCUCCUUCAGAAGGACAGGUGCCUGAUGGAAGAUCUAGGAGUUGCUUACUUGUAUAACAAGGAGCAGGGUAUGCUGCUAGGAAGAUCAAGUUUCACCUUUUGGAGUCAAAGGACUGUGUUUGAUAGCAAAAGAUUUGCUUCCUUUGCUAGUGAUGUUGUUUGCCUUUUUUACAAGAGAAUAAAAAUACUAUUCCUUUAAGAAAAGACCUUCUUGGCUAUUGUUGUUGUUAUCUGCUGAAUCAUGCCAAUAACUGUUUAUUUUAGCAUUCCUAGAGAAUUUUAGAGUUCAUUUACUUCCCCUUCUCCAGAAAGCAGUUAGGAAAAACUGUGUAAUUUCAUAAAUAAAAUAAAACCAAGGAGUUUUUAGUUGAAAGCA